UACGAAGGGGGCUAGCGUUGCUCGGAAUCACUGGGCGUAAAGGGUGCGUAGGCGGGUCUUUAAGUCAGGGGUGAAAUCCUGGAGCUCAACUCCAGAACUGCCUUUGAUACUGAAGAUCUUGAGUUCGGGAGAGGUGAGUGGAACUGCGAGUGUAGAGGUGAAAUUCGUAGAUAUUCGCAAGAACACCAGUGGCGAAGGCGGCUCACUGGCCCGAUACUGACGCUGAGGCACGAAAGCGUGGGGAAGCAACAGGG
RNAcentral lists this ribosomal RNA (254 nucleotides) under uncultured bacterium. Its description in RNAcentral is "partial 16S ribosomal RNA". It matches the Rfam family "Bacterial small subunit ribosomal RNA", at positions 524 to 777 of the family's 1533-position model. The record is from RNAcentral.